CCUACGGGCGGCAGCAGUGGGGAAUAUUGCGCAAUGGGCGAAAGCCUGACGCAGCGACGCCGCGUGUGGGAUGAAGGUCUUCGGAUCGUAAACCUCUGUCAGCGGGGAAGAACGGUCACUGGGCUAAUCACCCGUGAAUUGACGGUACCUGCAAAGGAAGCACCGGCUAACUCCGUGCCAGCAGCCGCGGUAAUACGGAGGGUGCCAGCGUUAAUCGGAAUUACUGGGCGUAAAGCGCCCGUAGGCGGUAUGGCAAGUCAAGUGUGAAAUCCCCGCGCUCAACGUGGGAACUGCAUUUGAAACUGGCAAACUGGAGUGUGGGAGAGGGGAGUAGAAUUCCAGGUGUAGGAGUGAAAUCCGUAGAUAUCUGGAGGAACAUCAGUGGCGAAGGCGACUAGCUGGAACAAAACUGACGCUGAGGAGCGAAAGCGUGGGUAGCAAACAGGAUUAGAUACCCGAGUAGUC
This 465-nucleotide ribosomal RNA is filed under the name uncultured bacterium. RNAcentral's name for it is "partial 16S ribosomal RNA". It matches the Rfam family "Bacterial small subunit ribosomal RNA", at positions 338 to 795 of the family's 1533-position model. The record is from RNAcentral.